RNAcentral lists this ribosomal RNA (376 nucleotides) under uncultured bacterium. Its description in RNAcentral is "bacterial SSU rRNA". It matches the Rfam family "Bacterial small subunit ribosomal RNA", at positions 524 to 898 of the family's 1533-position model. The record is from RNAcentral.
UACGUAGGGUGCAAGCGUUGUUCGAAAUGACUGGGCGUAAAGCGCGCGUAGGCGGAUUCGUAAGUCGAAUGUGAAAGCCCUGGGCUUAACCUAGGAAUUGCAUUCGAAACUGUGGAUCUUGAAUAUUUGAGAGGUUGGUGGAAUUCCAGGUGUAGGAGUGAAAUCCGUAGAUAUCUGGAGGAACAUCGGAGGCGAAGGCGGCCAACUGGCGAAAUAUUGACGCUGAAGUGCGAAAGCGCGGGGAGCAAACAGGAUUAGAUACCCUGGUAGUCCGCGCCGUAAACUAUGGAUACUAGGUGUUCGGAGUGUUAACCCUCUGAGUACCACAGCUAACGCGUUAAGUAUCCCGCCUGGGGAGUACGGUCGCAAGGCUAAA